AAAUUGAAGAGUUUGAUCAUGGCUCAGAUUGAACGCUGGCGGCAGGCCUAACACAUGCAAGUCGAACGGUAACAGGAAACAGCUUGCUGUUUCGCUGACGAGUGGCGGACGGGUGAGUAAUGUCUGGGAAACUGCCUGAUGGAGGGGGAUAACUGCUGGAAACGGUAGCUAAUACCGCAUAACGUCGCAAGACCAAAGAGGGGGACCUUCGGGCCUCUUGCCAUCGGAUGUGCCCAGAUGGGAUUAGCUAGUAGGUGGGGUAACGGCUCACCUAGGCGACGAUCCCUAGCUGGUCUGAGAGGAUG
RNAcentral lists this ribosomal RNA (305 nucleotides) under Escherichia coli. Its description in RNAcentral is "partial 16S ribosomal RNA". It matches the Rfam family "Bacterial small subunit ribosomal RNA", at positions 1 to 302 of the family's 1533-position model. The record is from RNAcentral. Lineage: Bacteria; Pseudomonadati; Pseudomonadota; Gammaproteobacteria; Enterobacterales; Enterobacteriaceae.